AGGAGUCAGCCGCCUAAGGCAGGGCAGAUGACUGGGGUGAAGUCGUAACAAGGUAGCCGUAGGAGAACCUGCGGCUGGAUCACCUCCUUUCUAAGGAA
This 98-nucleotide ribosomal RNA is filed under the name Lactobacillus delbrueckii subsp. lactis. Its description in RNAcentral is "partial 16S ribosomal RNA". It matches the Rfam family "Bacterial small subunit ribosomal RNA", at positions 1444 to 1533 of the family's 1533-position model. Lineage: Bacteria; Bacillati; Bacillota; Bacilli; Lactobacillales; Lactobacillaceae. The record is from RNAcentral.